UGACAGGUUCCUGGGCCGCGCCGCCUCGCCCUGCCUGGGCGGGGUUGGGACCUUUCUGGCACCUGCGUCGAAGCCGGCGGCAGGAUGGACUUUGUUGUCCCGGUCCCAGACCACCCUCCUCCACCGUCGCCUCCCACUGCAAAAAGGCCUGGAUAAGGAACCUAAUUCGAGCUACCCUUCUCUGUGAAGCUCGACGGCUGAGAACGUCAGGGCUCGUUCCCAAGUCUCUUUCCAGAGGCCAGGCUUUAUGGGAGCAUGGGUUACCAGCGACGCACCCUCUCACAGCUUAGAAAACUCAGCAGGACUGGCCUCUGUCCUAUCCCACACCCCACCUCAGUCCCUCAAGCUCAUCUCCUGUCAUUCCUGCCCAUUUCUGGACCCCAGCCACUCCUCAAACAGGGUGAGGAUGCAGUGUCCAAGGCACCAUCUUGAACUCAUCAUCGCCAAAUAUGUGAGCACCUUGAUGUUGGACUUCCCAACCUCCAGACCGUAAGGCAGUACAUUUCUUUGUAAAUUACGCAGUCUCAGCUAUUCUGUUACAGCAGCACAAAUGGACUAAGACAACCCCCGAGAUAGGAAGGGGUAAGGUAAAUGCAAUGAGAGUUGGGGUUUUCGAUCUUAGUCCAGUAAAGGAGCUGGAACUGUUCUGUAUAAACAAAGGGCAAGGUAAUUGCUACAUAGAUUCUUUUCUUAUUAUUGCUGAUUCUUAUCCUAAAAUAAAGGACAUUGCCACUACACAUCCUCUAGAAUGACCAAAAAUAAAAAUACAGCAUCAAAUGGGACGACAUGGUGCCAACUGGAAUUCUCAUACCCUGCUGAUGGGAGUAUAAUGUGGUACAGUCACUUUGGAAAAAAGUUUGACAAUUUCUUAUAAAAUUAUACAUAAACCUGUACUAUGACCUAGAGAUUCUACUCCUGUUUGUUCAAAAGAAAGGCAAACAUCUGUCCACUAAAAGAUAUGUACAAGAAUGCUCACAGUGGCAUUAUUUAUGACGGUCCAAACCAGGAGAUAAUCCAAAUGUCUGUAACCAAGAGAAUGGAUAAAGAAAUUUUGAUACGUCAAUUUAAUGGAUUACUACUUAGCAAUAAAAAUAAUUAGCCAUGCUGGGCGCGGUGGCUUAUGCCUGUAAUCCCAGCACUUUGGGAGGCUGAGGCAGGUGGAUCACCUGAGGUUGGGAGUUCAAGACCAGCCUGACCAACAUGGAGAACCCCCGUCUCUACUAAAAUACAAAAUUAGCCGGGGUGGUGGCGCAUGCCUGUAAUCCCAGCUACUCGGGAGGCUGAGGCAGGAGAAUCACUUGAACCCGGGAGGUGGAGGUUGCAUUGAGCCGAGAUUGCGCCAUUGCACUCCAGCAUGGGCAAAAAGAGCAAAACUCCGUCUCAAAAAAAUAAAUAAAUAAUAAUUAGCCACAUAUCCACACAACAAUAUUGCAUUAUCACAGGUAUAGUGAUAAAUACUGUAUGAUUCCAUUUAUAUGAAGUUCAAGAACAGGCAAGUAAUCCAUGAUGAAAGAAGUACUUACCUCUGGGGGUGGCAGCAUUGACUAAAGAGGUACAAGGGAGUCUUCUGGGGCCUGGAAAUGUUCUAUAUCUUGAUCUGGGUGGUGGUUACACAGGUAUACGCGUGUUAAGAAAUCAUCAGGCUGUAUACUUAGUGUACUGUAAUGGCAUUACACUGUCUUUCAAUUAAAAUGUGAAA
RNAcentral lists this long non-coding RNA (1699 nucleotides) under Homo sapiens (human). RNAcentral describes it as "HSALNT0398987". Lineage: Eukaryota; Metazoa; Chordata; Mammalia; Primates; Hominidae. The record is from RNAcentral.